AGAAUCAACGCUGGCGGCGUGCCUAACACAUGCAAGUCGAACGAGAAAGUGGAGCAAUCCAUGAGUAAAGUGGCGCACGGGUGAGUAACACGUGACUAACCUACCCUUGAGUGGGGGAUAACCUAGAGAAAUCUGGGCUAAUACCGCAUAAUACCUUCGGGUCAGAGGAGCAAUUCGCUUAAGGAGGGGGUCGCGGCCGAUUAGUUAGUUGGCGGGGUAAUGGCCCACAAGACUAUGAUCGGUA
RNAcentral lists this ribosomal RNA (244 nucleotides) under uncultured bacterium. RNAcentral's name for it is "partial small subunit ribosomal RNA". It matches the Rfam family "Bacterial small subunit ribosomal RNA", at positions 26 to 285 of the family's 1533-position model. The record is from RNAcentral.